Oncorhynchus tshawytscha (Chinook salmon) is the source of this 348-nucleotide long non-coding RNA. The record is from Ensembl. NCBI's taxonomy places the organism in Eukaryota, Metazoa, Chordata, Actinopteri, Salmoniformes, Salmonidae.
GGGGGAGUGACGGUAGGAUGGAGCGGAUUGGAACAGGGCCUCGGGGGGGGAGUGACGGUAGGAUGGAGCGGAUUGGAACAGGGCCUCGGGGGGGAUGACGGUAGGAUGGAGCGGAUUGGAACAGGGCCUCGGGGGAAGUGACGGUAGGAUGGAGCGGAUUGGAACAGGGCCUCGGGGUGAGUGACGGUAGGAUGGAGCGGAUUGGAACAGGGCCUCGGGGGGAGUGACGGUAGGAUGGAGCGGAUUGGAACAGGGCCUUACACUGAGUUUCCUCUUGGGGGCUUUCUGUUUGGCGGUCGCUCCCCUACGAUGAGUCACAAACUUCCCUGGAGCCAAAACUGGAGACGG